UUACGGGAGGCAGCAGCAAGGAAUAUUGCGCAAUGGGCGAAAGCCUGACGCAGCGACGCCGCGUGGGGGAUGAAAGCCUUCGGGUUGUAAACCCCUUUUCACUGGGAAGAGGAAGGACGGUACCAGUGGAAUAAGCCUCGGCUAACUACGUGCCAGCAGCCGCGGUAAUACGUAGGAGGCGAGCGUUAUCCGGAAUUAUUGGGCGUAAAGAGCGCGCGGGCGGCCGGGUAAGUCAGAUGUGAAAUCUCCUGGCUUAACUAGGAGGCGACAUUUGAGACUGCCUGGCUUGAGGACAGCAGAGGGAGAUGGAAUUCCCGGUGUAGUAGUGAAAUACGUAGAUAUCGGGAGGAACACCUGUGGCGAAGGCGGUCUUCUGGGCUGUUUCUGACGCUGAGGCGCGAAAGCGUGGGGAGCAAACAGGAUUAGAUACCCCGGUAGC
RNAcentral lists this ribosomal RNA (439 nucleotides) under uncultured bacterium. RNAcentral's name for it is "bacterial SSU rRNA". It matches the Rfam family "Bacterial small subunit ribosomal RNA", at positions 339 to 794 of the family's 1533-position model. The record is from RNAcentral.